Molecule: ribosomal RNA, 474 nt
Filed under: uncultured bacterium
Lineage: Bacteria
Description: partial 16S ribosomal RNA
Rfam family: Bacterial small subunit ribosomal RNA
Source: RNAcentral
GAUGAACGCUCGCGGCAGGCCUAACACAUGCAAGUCGAGGGAGGAGCUUUCGGGCUUCGACCGGCGUACGGGUGCGUAACGCGUAUACAAUCUGCCUUUCACAUAGGGAUAGCCCGAAGAAAUUUGGAUUAAUACCUAAUGGUAUAUAGGAGUGGCAUCACAUUUAUAUUAAAGCUGAGGCGGUGAAAGAUGAGUAUGCGUUCUAUUAGCUAGUUGGAGAGGUAACGGCUCCCCAAGGCGACGAUAGAUAGGGGUUCUGAGAGGGAUAUCCCCCACACUGGUACUGAGAUACGGACCAGACUCCUACGGGAGGCAGCAGUGAGGAAUAGUGGACAAUGGUCGGAAGACUGAUCCAGCCAUGCCGCGUGCAGGAAGACGGCCUUAUGGGUUGUAAACUGCUUUUGCAGGGGAAGAAUAAGGACUACGAGUAGUUUGAUGACGGUACUCUGCGAAUAAGCAUCGGCUAACUCCGUG